AAAAAUUUAGUUAAAUAAUAACAUUAGUUUGUCAAACUAAAAUUGUUCAAUAAACAAUUUUUA
Molecule: transfer RNA, 63 nt
Filed under: Phratora vulgatissima
Lineage: Eukaryota; Metazoa; Arthropoda; Insecta; Coleoptera; Chrysomelidae
Description: tRNA-Asp
Source: RNAcentral